This is a long non-coding RNA of Neogale vison (American mink), 575 nucleotides long. RefSeq lists it as uncharacterized. Lineage: Eukaryota; Metazoa; Chordata; Mammalia; Carnivora; Mustelidae. The record is from RefSeq and is a predicted model, not a curated record. The transcript has 3 exons.
AGCCAGCAGGCCCAGGGCUGGCCUGGCCCUGCUGCUUCCCUUGGUAGCACUCGAGUCCGGGGGAGGGGUCCUGAGCCAGCUGGGGUCUGCCAGGCCACUCCUGCAGACAGGGACCACCCCACCCGACAGGGACCCCUGUCUCCCAUCUGAGAGGACAGCUCUCUUCCUGGAGCUGGGAUCUGUCGCUUGCUGGUACCAACAGCAGAUAAUCAGGUGACCAUGUGACAUGUUCUGGCCAAUGAAACGAGAGCAGAAAGACCCCGGGUCACACCUGGACCGGAGGAGCUUGAACAGCCUGCGCAGGGUACCUCCGGAACUGAGAGCCAUUCCUGGAAGACAGCUGGCCUAGAGGGACCGUGCAUCCCAGAUUCCUCGGCAGCUGACCAAUGUCAUGUGACUGGUUCUGACCAGUGGAAUAUGAGCAGAAAUGACAAAUGUCCUUCAGAGUCAGGGCCACUUCUGGGGUCCUCGGAUGACAGAGGAAAAUAAACUUCUAACUGCCUCUUGGGGUUUGUUUGUUACAUCAGCUAGUGCUACCCUAAAUCAUAAACCCAAUAAAUUGCAUGAGCCUUUAA